GGUCCUGUGGCGCAAUGGAUAACGCAUCUGACUACGGAUCAGAAGAUUCCAGGUUCGAGUCCUGGCAGGAUCG
RNAcentral lists this transfer RNA (73 nucleotides) under Bombyx mandarina (wild silkworm). RNAcentral describes it as "tRNA-Arg". It matches the Rfam family "tRNA". Rfam says of the family: Transfer RNA (tRNA) molecules are approximately 80 nucleotides in length. Lineage: Eukaryota; Metazoa; Arthropoda; Insecta; Lepidoptera; Bombycidae. The record is from RNAcentral.